RNAcentral lists this small RNA (166 nucleotides) under Arabidopsis thaliana (thale cress). RNAcentral describes it as "ATSL065170". Lineage: Eukaryota; Viridiplantae; Streptophyta; Magnoliopsida; Brassicales; Brassicaceae. The record is from RNAcentral.
AAAUGUUCAUUACCAAAUGUCGUUAGCUCAAUUGGUAAAUACUCUAGGCAAAUUUUAGAGGUCGCCGGUUCGAGUGACGCUUGAGACGAAACUAAUAUUACAUGCUGCGGUUUUUGGUUUGGGGGAUUACGGACUUCGGUCCAGUACCUUCUAGCAUUAAAAAAAA